CCUUUACUCUACGGGAGGCAGCAGUGGGGAAUAUUGCACAAUGGGCGCAAGCCUGAUGCAGCGACGCCGCGUGAGGGAUGACGGCCUUCGGGUUGUAAACCUCUUUCAGUAGGGAAGAAGCGAAAGUGACGGUACCUGCAGAAGAAGCGCCGGCUAACUACGUGCCAGCAGCCGCGGUAAUACGUAGGGCGCAAGCGUUAUCCGGAAUUAUUGGGCGUAAAGAGCUCGUAGGCGGUUUGUCGCGUCUGCCGUGAAAGUCCGGGGCUCAACUCCGGAUCUGCGGUGGGUACGGGCAGACUAGAGUGAUGUAGGGGAGACUGGAAUUCCUGGUGUAGCGGUGAAAUGCGCAGAUAUCAGGAGGAACACCGAUGGCGAAGGCAGGUCUCUGGGCAUUAACUGACGCUGAGGAGCGAAAGCAUGGGGAGCGAACAGGAUUAGAUACCCUGGUAGUCCAUGCCGUAAACGUUGGGCACUAGGUGUGGGGGACAUUCCACGUUUUCCGCGCCGUAGCUAACGCAUUAAGUGCCCCGCCUGGGGAGUACGGCCGCAAGGCUAAAACUCAAAGGAAUUGACGGGGGCCCGCACAAGCGGCGGAGCAUGCGGAUUAAUUCGAUGCAACGCGAAGAACCUUACCAAGGCUUGACAUGAACCGGAAAGACCCUGAAACCAGGCCCCCCCC
Molecule: ribosomal RNA, 679 nt
Filed under: Arthrobacter sp.
Lineage: Bacteria; Bacillati; Actinomycetota; Actinomycetes; Micrococcales; Micrococcaceae
Description: bacterial SSU rRNA
Rfam family: Bacterial small subunit ribosomal RNA
Source: RNAcentral